RNAcentral lists this ribosomal RNA (468 nucleotides) under uncultured bacterium. RNAcentral's name for it is "partial 16S ribosomal RNA". It matches the Rfam family "Bacterial small subunit ribosomal RNA", at positions 28 to 507 of the family's 1533-position model. The record is from RNAcentral.
GACGAACGCUGGCGGCGUGCUUAACACAUGCAAGUCGAACGGAAAGGCCCUGCUUUUGUGGGGUGCUCGAGUGGCGAACGGGUGAGUAACACGUGAGUAACCUGCCCUUGACUUUGGGAUAACUUCAGGAAACUGGGGCUAAUACCGGAUAUGAUCUCCUGCUGCAUGGUGGGGGUUGGAAAGUUUCGGCGGUUGGGGAUGGACUCGCGGCUUAUCAGCUUGUUGGUGGGGUAGUGGCUUACCAAGGCUUUGACGGGUAGCCGGCCUGAGAGGGUGACCGGCCACAUUGGGACUGAGAUACGGCCCAGAAGCCUACGGGAGGCAGCAGUGGGGAAUAUUGCACAAUGGGCGGAAGCCUGAUGCAGCAACGCCGCGUGCGGGAUGACGGCCUUCGGGUUGUAAACAGCUUUCGACGGUGACGAAGAGUGAGUGACGGUAAUGGGUAAAGAAGCACCGGCUAACUACGUG